UACGUAGGGGGCUAGCGUUGUCCGGAUUCAUUGGGCGUAAAGCGCGUGUAGGCGGCCAGGUAGGUCCGAUGUGAAAACUGGAGGCUCAACCUCCAGCUGUCAUUGGAAACCAUCUGGCUAGAGUCCGGAAGAGGAGAGUGGAAUUCCUGGUGUAGCGGUGAAAUGCGCAGAUAUCAGGAAGAACACCGAUGGCGAAGGCAGCUCUCUGGGACGGUACUGACGCUGAGACGCGAAAGCGUGGGGAGCGAACAGGAUUAGAUACCCUGGUAGUCCACGCCGUAAACGAUGGGCGCUAGGUGUGGGCGGUGUCGACUCCGUCCGUGCCGAAGCUAACGCAUUAAGCGCCCCGCCUGGGGAGUACGGCCGCAAGGCUAAA
This 376-nucleotide ribosomal RNA is filed under the name uncultured bacterium. RNAcentral describes it as "bacterial SSU rRNA". It matches the Rfam family "Bacterial small subunit ribosomal RNA", at positions 524 to 898 of the family's 1533-position model. The record is from RNAcentral.